CCUACGGGAGGCAGCAGUGAGGAAUAUUGGUCAAUGGACGAGAGUCUGAACCAGCCAAGUAGCGUGAAGGAUGACUGCCCUAUGGGUUGUAAACUUCUUUUAUAUGGGAAUAAAAUGUUCCACGUGUGGGAUUUUGUAUGUACCAUAUGAAUAAGGAUCGGCUAACUCCGUGCCAGCAGCCGCGGUAAUACGGAGGAUCUGAGCGUUAUCCGGAUUUAUUGGGUUUAAAGGGAGCGUAGGUGGAUUGUUAAGUCAGUUGUGAAAGUUUGCGGCUCAACCGUAAAAUUGCAGUUGAAACUGGCAGUCUUGAGUACAGUAGAGGUGGGCGGAAUUCGUGGUGUAGCGGUGAAAUGCUUAGAUAUCACGAAGAACUCCGAUUGCGAAGGCAGCUCACUGGACUGCAACUGACGUUGAGGCCCGAAAGCGUGGGGAGCAAACAGGAUUAGAUACCCGGGUAGUC
RNAcentral lists this ribosomal RNA (460 nucleotides) under uncultured bacterium. RNAcentral describes it as "partial 16S ribosomal RNA". It matches the Rfam family "Bacterial small subunit ribosomal RNA", at positions 338 to 795 of the family's 1533-position model. The record is from RNAcentral.